GGGUCUAAUACCGGAUAUGACCAUGACUCGCAUGAGUGAUGGUGGAAAGUUUUUUCGGUUGGGGAUGGGCUCGCGGCCUAUCAGUUUGUUGGUGAGGUAAUGGCUCACCAAGACGACGACGGGUAGCCGGCCUGAGAGGGCGACCGGCCACACUGGGACUGAGACACGGCCCAGACUCCUACGGGAGGCAGCAGUGGGGAAUAUUGCACAAUGGGGGAAACCCUGAUGCAGCGACGCAGCGUGCGGGAUGACGGCCUUCGGGUUGUAAACCGCUUUCAGCAGGGAAGAAGCCUUUCGGGGUGACGGUACCUGCAGAAGAAGUACCGGCUAACUACGUGCCAGCAGCCGCGGUAAUACGUAGGGUACAAGCGUUGUUCGGAAUUAUUGGGCGUAAAGAGCUCGUAGGUGGUUGGUCACGUCUGCUGUGGAACGCACGCUAACGUUGCGCGUGCAGUGGGUACGGCUGACUAGAGUGCAGUAGGGGAGUCUGGAUUCCUGGUGUAGCGG
RNAcentral lists this ribosomal RNA (507 nucleotides) under uncultured Actinomycetes bacterium. RNAcentral describes it as "bacterial SSU rRNA". It matches the Rfam family "Bacterial small subunit ribosomal RNA", at positions 159 to 681 of the family's 1533-position model. The record is from RNAcentral. Lineage: Bacteria; Bacillati; Actinomycetota; Actinomycetes.